GUGAACGCUGGCGGUAGGCCUAACACAUGCAAGUCGAACGGCAGCACAGUAAGAGCUUGCUCUUGCGGGUGGCGAGUGGCGGACGGGUGAGGAAUACAUCGGAAUCUACUUUUUCGUGGGGGAUAACGUAGGGAAACUUACGCUAAUACCGCAUACGACCUACGGGUGAAAGCAGGGGAUCUUCGGACCUUGCGCGAUUGAAUGAGCCGAUGUCGGAUUAGCUAGUUGGCGGGGUAAAGGCCCACCAAGGCGACGAUCCGUAGCUGGUCUGAGAGGAUGAUCAGCCACACUGGAACUGAGACACGGUCCAGACUCCUACGGGAGGCAGCAGUGGGGAAUAUUGGACAAUGGGCGCAAGCCUGAUCCAGCCAUACCGCGUGGGUGAAGAAGGCCUUCGGGUUGUAAAGCCCUUUUGUUGGGAAAGAAAAGCAGCAGGUUAAUACCCCGCUGUUCUGACGGUACCCAAAGAGUAAGCACCGGCUAACUUCGUG
This 491-nucleotide ribosomal RNA is filed under the name uncultured bacterium. RNAcentral's name for it is "partial 16S ribosomal RNA". It matches the Rfam family "Bacterial small subunit ribosomal RNA", at positions 29 to 507 of the family's 1533-position model. The record is from RNAcentral.